RNAcentral lists this long non-coding RNA (565 nucleotides) under Trifolium pratense (red clover). Its description in RNAcentral is "long non-coding RNA (TPRA_LNC004756)". The record is from RNAcentral. Lineage: Eukaryota; Viridiplantae; Streptophyta; Magnoliopsida; Fabales; Fabaceae.
AAGAAGUUCGAAGAAUCAACAAAAAAUGGAGAGAGAUGAGUAAGAAAGUGAGUUUAGAUAUUGAAAAAGAAUGGGAGAAAUUGAAUUUUGAAAUUGAUUCCAACAAAGCAGAAAACAACAGUAGCAGCAGCAUCAGUCCUGCAAGGAGAUUUUUUUGUUUGGCCUCAAGCAAAUGCAAUAAGGACUGGGUUAUAUCAGUUUGGUUUUCUCCUAGAUUAAAGUUUACAAAUAACAAAUAAAACUAAUUAAAAUUGAUACAAAUCUAAAAAAAAAUCUGAAAUUUAACAAAAACAAAUCAAUCAUUGGAGAAAACCAUCUAAACGCCACUAACUCCUAAAAAGUAGGGAUUAUUAACUAAACGAUAGAAACAAAUCCUAAUAAAUAUGACAACUAAGCAACAAUAUUUUCAAAGAAAUAGAAAAAGGAUCGUUAAAUCGGAUAUAAGAAACAGUAUUGAAGAAGAAUAGGCAUUUCAAAGAAGAAAACAUACCUUUUUCCUCAAAUUCAUGAACAACAAUAUCUGGUAAUUGAAUUCUGAAACACUUUGGUCCAUUUUUAUUCANNN